Molecule: ribosomal RNA, 433 nt
Filed under: uncultured bacterium
Lineage: Bacteria
Description: partial 16S ribosomal RNA
Rfam family: Bacterial small subunit ribosomal RNA
Source: RNAcentral
AACGAACGCUGGCGGCAUGCCUAACACAUGCAAGUCGAACGAGACCUUCGGGUCUAGUGGCGCACGGGUGCGUAACGCGUGGGAACCUGCCCUUAGGUUCGGAAUAACUCCCCGAAAGGGGUGCUAAUACCGGAUAAUGUCUUCGGACCAAAGAUUUAUCGCCUUUGGAUGGGCCCGCGUUGGAUUAGCUAGUUGGUAGGGUAAAAGCCUACCAAGGCGACGAUCCAUAGCUGGUCUGAGAGGAUGAUCAGCCACACUGGGACUGAGACACGGCCCAGACUACUACGGGAGGCAGCAGUGGGGAAUAUUGGACAAUGGGCGAAAGCCUGAUCCAGCAAUGCCGCGUGAGUGAUGAAGGCCUUAGGGUUGUAAAGCUCUUUUACCCGGGAUGAUAAUGACAGUACCGGGAGAAUAAGCUCCGACUAACUCCGUG